UACUGUAUCCUCAUUGUGCUAGUACAUAUUACUAGUGUUUAGGUGAUACUUACUUUGAUGAAGCAGUUGAUGGUUUUUGAAGGAUCUCUUCUCCAUUUGGAAGGUGUGAUUCCAUUGAUAAACUCCAUAAAAGGUGUGAGACCAUUAAUUGAGAGAUACAGGACUCACAACAGUUCAAGGACUUCUACCAGUUUACGUUUAAUUUUGCCAAAAACUCAGGCAGAAAGGACUAGGCUAGUGACAUAAUAUUAUACAUAUCUUGAGAUGGCCAUUGCCUGCUGGAAUCUUAUUUUUACUGGUCGCUUCAAAUUUUUGGACUUGUGGUGUGAAUUUUUAAGAUCUCAUUAUAAAAGAGCUGGCAAUACCCAAAGACACUUGGAACCUUCUGCUAGAGUUUUCUAACAGGAUUGAUGACACCAUGAGCAAUUAUGAUGAAGAUGGCCCCCCAAGCCCCAAGAGUUCACUAUAAACCUGAGACUGGGGGCCCCUUUAAUUGGGGGCCUAGUGCUAAUUCCCCCUUGCCCCCUCCUAU
Molecule: long non-coding RNA, 532 nt
Organism: Amphimedon queenslandica
Lineage: Eukaryota; Metazoa; Porifera; Demospongiae; Haplosclerida; Niphatidae
Exons: 5
Source: RefSeq, a predicted model, not a curated record